GAGCGCGUUGUUUGCGCUUGCUAACCUUUCCCUUGGUGUUCGGUUGCUGUUGCAGGCCGGCGCGGUGAACAAGCAGGGCGACAGCAUUCUGUGCCGCUGAGCCGCGCUGUCCAGGUGUGCGGCCGCCUGAGCCCGAGCCAGGAGCACUAGAGAGGGAGGGGGAAGAGCAGAAGUUAGAGAAAAAAAGACACCGGAGGAAAGGAAAAAACAUCGGCCAACCUAGAAACGUUUUCAUUCGUCAUUCCAAGAGAGGGAGAGGAAAGAAAAAUACAACUUUCAUCCUUUCUUUGCACGUUCAUAAACAUUCUACAUACGUAUUCUGUUUUGUCUCUUCAUUUAUAACUGCUGUGAAUUGUACAUUUCUGUGUGUUUUGGAGAUGCAGUUAAACUUUUAAGCUUAAGUGUGACAGGACUGAUAAAUAGAAGAUCAAGAGUAGAUCCGACUUUAGAAGCCUACUUUGUGACCAAGGAGUUCAAUUUUUGUUUUGAAGCUUUACUAAUAUACCAGAGCAUUGUAGAUAUUUUUUUUUACAUCUAUUGUUUAAAAUAGAUGAUUAUAACGGGGCAGAGAACUUUCUUUUCUCUGCAAGAAUGUUACAUAUUGUAUAGAUAAAUGAGUGACAUUUCAUACCAUGUGUAUAUAGAGAUGUUCUAUAAGUGUGAGAAAGUAUAUGCUUUAAUAGACUACUGUAAUUAUAAGAUAUUUUUAAUUAAAUAUUUUUUGUAAAUAUUAUGUGUGUGUUUUUUUUAAUCUAUGGGAAUAUUUCUUUUGGAAAAUUACUUUUCAGCUCAAUUACAGAGCUCUUGAUAUCUUGAAUGUCUUUUCUGUUUGACCUGGCUCUUAAUUUGUGUUUGUUUUGCCCAGUAUAGACUCGGAAGUAACAGUUAUAGCUAGUGGUCUUGCAUGAUUGCAUGAGAUAUUUAAUCACAAAUUAAACUUGUUCUGAGUCCAUUCAAGUGUGUUUUUUUAAACGUAGAUUGAAAUCUUUGUAUUUGAAGCAUACAUGUUGAAUAUAUACCUUAUCAGUUUUUAAGUACAGGGUUUUAUAGUGUAAUAUAUACAGAGUAAGUGUUUGUUUUUGUUUUUCAACUGAGGUCAAAAUGGAUUCUGAAUGAUUUUGCAUAUGGGAUGAGGAAAUGCUUGGAUCCUUAAGGAGUUUACGAAAUCUGCUGUUUUAUCGAAGUGAAAAAAAAAUUGCUUAUCUUCAUUUUACACUAAAGCUUAAUGUCACUAAGUUUCAUGUCUGUACAGAUUAUUUAAUCAUGGAAAUGAAAAAAUGUUCUCUGCUUGCUACCAAAGGACAAGCUCUUGGAAAUGAACACUUUCUGCUUUCCUUCCUCCAAAGAAUUAUUAAUAGGCAACAGUGGGAGAAAAAAAAGGCAUAAUGGCAAAUCCUUCAAGCAGGGAUAAAAGUCGAUCUUCAAACAUUAACUUAAGCAGACCAAAAAUUCUGAUGACCGCAUCUAGAUUAUUUUUUUAUAAAAAUGAUUUUCACUAUAGCUAUGUUAGUUACGCUAAGCUACUGUCCAAUCUCUUGUGAUGUGUAACUUUUACAUGUGAAUAUUAAAGUAGAUUUCUCUGUCUUGUACUGUGAUUUCUGGUCUCAUUUCUUUAAAACCUUACUCAUUUUUUUAAGGCUCUUUUUUUCUCCUUAAGGAAGGUAAUAUUUUCUAGGUUAGAUAGGACUAUCAGGGUUUGUGAACAUUAUGCAUUUAAUGUUAUGGGUACUUCACACACAAGUUAGAUGGAAUUUUUAGAGUGAAAGAGAAUUAAGUAGGAUUUAAUUGGGUGCUUUGUAAAUAGUCAACUGUGUGUAUAACGUGGUCUGUUUGAUUUUUAAAAGGAAAGGAUUUGUUUCAGAUUAUACAAGAAUAAAAGUAUUAUAGACCCAAGGGACUUUUUAUGAGGUCAAAUUCAAAUAUUUAUAUGAAUAUGAAAUACCAUGGUCCCUAGUAGUCAGUUGAAGUGGCAAUGUCUAAACAAAAAUGAACAAAACUAAUGCUAGUAGGUUAAAAUCAAUCAAAAGGUUUAAAAAUUGAUCCUAUCCUCAGCAUGUUAUUUCCUCAGCUCUGAUAAUUUACUGGUCUUGAGUAUUUUUAGAAUUUGAUGUAUUUGAUGUUGAACAUUAUAAAGUCAAAGAACUGCUUGUUUAGAUGAGGUUUAUUUUUAUUUUUGAUAUUAUUCAUUCUUGUCACACAUCAAGAAGAAAACACUAGAGCGCUGCUGGAAUUCCAAAUCUGAAGAAUUCUAACGACUGCAUUCUUUGUUAUUAAAAAGGGCACAAUCCUUUUUAUUUGGCAGUUUAAUUUCAGUAGGAAGCAUGUCACAUGUGCACUGUUGGUUAGAAUUAUGCAUCUGUCAUGCCUGACUGCUGAACCCUACCUAAGCCUUUGGGCACAGUUUAAAACUUAUAAUGGUGGACCAUGAACCUCAAAACAAACGGAUAUUUUUGGAGUUUGAGGAUAGAUGUUACUCCUUAGUUAAAGUUUAUAUUUGGGGCAUGAAAAACUACUAAAAGAAGAAAAGUGUUAGAAAUACUACAUUUCAAAGAGUUGGCAUUUUCCCUUUGGCCACUCAAGCAGCAUUUGAUGUAUCUAAAGAAACAAAGUCAUUGUUUAUUUUUUAAAAAAUUAUAUGCAGUUGUACAAGAUCCCACAUUCCAUUGAAAUGUUGGCUAUGUCCUAACCAAGCAACCAGAUAACAAAAACAUUUUGAGUCUUUUAUCUAGGUAGUUCUAAUUAUUCAGAUACUUCGUUUAACAAAGGAAAACAUCCUGACUUGUCUCAUUUCAUUUGUAGACUUUUCAUUGUAUAGGCACAACCAAAGAGUCAGACUGGUUUAAAACCGCAAAAGGAAAAAAAGUAUCUCACACAGUGGAUGUUGUUUCUAAGAAUGUUACAAAAUCCUGACAUCUCAGACAUGUCGAGUUAAAGGAAGAAAAAAAAAAAAAACAACUUUUCAUUUCAAAGAACUAAUAUACUUUGAUAUUGUGUAAACCUUACUCAAGUUUAUUGUCAAGCUUUAACUGCCUUUUUAGAACUUUUUAAAAUUUUGACCCCACAAAUCUAUUGUAUUAGUUGCCUUCUGUAACAAUAAAUCUUCACUGAGCAAAAGG
This is a long non-coding RNA of Mandrillus leucophaeus (drill), 3116 nucleotides long. RefSeq lists it as uncharacterized. NCBI's taxonomy places the organism in Eukaryota, Metazoa, Chordata, Mammalia, Primates, Cercopithecidae. The transcript has 2 exons. The record is from RefSeq and is a predicted model, not a curated record.